Molecule: RNA transcript, 1201 nt
Organism: Neofelis nebulosa (Clouded leopard)
Lineage: Eukaryota; Metazoa; Chordata; Mammalia; Carnivora; Felidae
Gene: TEX51
Gene name: testis expressed 51
Exons: 8
Source: RefSeq, a predicted model, not a curated record
CCAUCAGCCACAAGACUGCAUAGCUGUUUCUUGGUCCUCACAAGAAUCCUCCCCAAGAGCAUCAGUGACUCCAUCUUCAGAGGAAGAUAUUGAGGUGAUGACUUGAGUCUGACACCAAAGCUCAGGUUUGGACCAUAGCUGACCCUCACCUUACCCUACGGAAUUUACUUUUGUUCUGCAAAGAGAAUGUUGUUUCUAGGGAGAAGGGGGUAUCAUCAUUCCAUAUGGAACUUCCAGGAAGGGUGAUAAGGGGACAGAGGAGAGACCCCCAGAAGAUGCUGCUUCUCCUGCUCGGCUGUCUCCUACCUGCUGCCAAUGGGAAGAGCUGUCUCCUCUGCUGGCCAGGACUGCCUGCAUUGUUAGACUAUGAUCUGCAGAUUCUUUGGGGCACCCCAGGGCCACCCACAGAGCUCUCCCAAAGCCUCCACACCUUAUUCCUGAAGGAUCAUGUCUUCAUCGAACCCUGGUAUCUUGAUCAGAACCGUAUGGAAGAAGCAGCAGCCAAAUUAUUCAAUCACAUAGAUGAAGCCAUCAAGAAGUUCCGAGAUAAUAAACCAUCACUUUUGGAAGAGAUUCAUAUCCAGCAGAAGGUGUUUACUGAGAAGCUGGAUGAGAUAUCUGAGGAGCUGAAGGAGAAGGCCUGCAGCAAGUCCUGUGACCUACGCUCCACACUGGAGGUCAUGAACUGUGCCAACUGCAAGACACACUUCCUCACCUGCAAAGACCCCACUCUUUGCCCAGCCAGUACUGGGAGUACCUUUGCAUGGUUUGUGAGCCUUGGCAUUAUUCUGUUCCUGGCAUCUGUAGCUGGAAGUGGAUGCUACAUUUUCUGGCAUGAGAAGAGGAAGAAGGAAAUAGAAAAGGUGCUGGAAAGGGAGACCCCUGCCAGAAUAUAGGGGUUCCAAGAGGGUAAAGCUGGGGAUAGCAAGGCUGGAGGCCCCAACUCUGGCUCCAACAGUCUGACAUCCAGAGCACACAGGAACCCAGCAGUCCACCGGUCUUCCACAGCUGAGCAGAGAUAGUGCAGUUGCUGUCAGGAAGCCCUUUCAUCACUGGGUUCCUGUAACCAUCCCUUCCCUGACCCGCUCAGACCUGGUGUGGUCGCAGCUUUGUGACCCAAGAGACCACCCUCUGUCUUGUGGCUUCCCUAUGCACAUACUUUAUAAACACCUUUUAUUAAAAUACUUUCCUACUAUUGGAA